Molecule: ribosomal RNA, 274 nt
Filed under: uncultured bacterium
Lineage: Bacteria
Description: partial 16S ribosomal RNA
Rfam family: Bacterial small subunit ribosomal RNA
Source: RNAcentral
AUACGAAGGGGGCUAGCGUUGUUCGGAAUCACUGGGCGUAAAGCGCGCGUAGGUGGAUCAAUUAGUUGAGGGUGAAAUCCCGGGGCUCAACCUCGGAACUGCCUUCAAUACUGUUGAUCUUGAGACCGAGAGAGGUGAGUGGAAUUCCUAGUGUAGAGGUGAAAUUCGUAGAUAUUAGGAAGAACACCAGUGGCGAAGGCGGCUCACUGGCUCGGUACUGACGCUGAGGUGCGAAAGUGUGGGGAGCAAACAGGAUUAGAAACCCUAGUAGUCC